UACGUAGGACCCAAGCGUUAUCCGGAUUGACUGGGCGUAAAGAGUUGCGUAGGUGGUUUGUUAAGCGAAUAGUGAAAUCUUGUGGCUCAACCAUAAGGCUAUUAUUCGAACUGGCAAACUCGAGAAAUGGGAGAGGUAUCUAGAAUUCCUCAUGUAGGGGUAAUAUCCGUAGAUAUGAGGAGGAAUACCAAUGGCGUAGGCAGGAUACUGG
Molecule: ribosomal RNA, 211 nt
Filed under: uncultured bacterium
Lineage: Bacteria
Description: partial 16S ribosomal RNA
Rfam family: Bacterial small subunit ribosomal RNA
Source: RNAcentral